GACGAACGCUGGCGGCGUGCUUAACACAUGCAAGUCGAACGGAAAGGCCUGCUUUCCCUUGUGGAUUGCGGGUACUCGAGUGGCGAACGGGUGAGUAACACGUGAGUGAUCUGCCCCCAACUUGGGUAUAAGCCUGGGAAACUGGUUCUAAUUCCCGAUAGGCCUGCAGGGUGGUGCCUUUGGUGGAAAACGAUUUUCUAUUGGUUGGGGAUGAGCUCGCGGCCUAUCAGCUUGUUGGUGGGGUAAUGGCCUACCAAGGCGGCGACGGGUAGCCGGCCUGAGAGGGUGGACGGCCACAUUGGGACUGAGAUACGGCCCAGACUCCUACGGGAGGCAGCAGUGGGGAAUAUUGCACAAUGGGCGGAAGCCUGAUGCAGCGACGCCGCGUGGGGGAUGACGGCCUUCGGGUUGUAAACUCCUUUCGACCGCGAGGAAGCCACCUGGUUGGAAGGGUGGUGACGGUAGUGGUAGAAGAAGCACCGGCUAACUACGUG
This 494-nucleotide ribosomal RNA is filed under the name uncultured bacterium. Its description in RNAcentral is "partial 16S ribosomal RNA". It matches the Rfam family "Bacterial small subunit ribosomal RNA", at positions 28 to 507 of the family's 1533-position model. The record is from RNAcentral.